AUUGAACGCUGGCGGCAGGCCUAACACAUGCAAGUCGAACGGUAACAGGAAGAAGCUUGCUUCUUUGCUGACGAGUGGCGGACGGGUGAGUAAUGUCUGGGAAACUGCCUGAUGGAGGGGGAUAACUACUGGAAACGGUAGCUAAUACCGCAUAACGUCGCAAGACCAAAGAGGGGGACCUUCGGGCCUCUUGCCAUCGGAUGUGCCCAGAUGGGAUUAGCUAGUAGGUGGGGUAACGGCUCACCUAGGCGACGAUCCCUAGCUGGUCUGAGAGGAUGACCAGCCACACUGGAACUGAGACACGGUCCAGACCCCUACGGGAGGCAGCAGUGGGGAAUAUUGCACAAUGGGCGCAAGCCUGAUGCAGCCAUGCCGCGUGUAUGAAGAAGGCCUUCGGGUUGUAAAGUACUUUCAGCGGGGAGGAAGGGAGUAAAGUUAAUACCUUUGCUCAUUGACGUUACCCGCAGAAGAAGCACCGGCUAACUCCGU
RNAcentral lists this ribosomal RNA (489 nucleotides) under uncultured bacterium. RNAcentral describes it as "partial 16S ribosomal RNA". It matches the Rfam family "Bacterial small subunit ribosomal RNA", at positions 30 to 506 of the family's 1533-position model. The record is from RNAcentral.